GAUGAACGCUGGCGGCGUGCCUAAUACAUGCAAGUCGAGCGAACAGACGAGGAGCUUGCUCCCCUGACGUUAGCGGCGGACGGGUGAGUAACACGUGGAUCACCUACCUAUAAGACUGGGAUAACUUCGGGAAACAGGAGCUAAUACCGGAUAAUAUAUUGAACCGCAUGGUUCAAUAGUGAAAGACGGUUUUGCUGUCACUUAUAGAUGGAUCCGCGCCGCAUUAGCUAGUUGGUAAGGUAACGGCUUACCAAGGCAACGAUGCGUAGCCGACCUGAGAGGGUGAUCGGCCACACUGGAACUGAGACACGGUCCAGACUCCUACGGGAGGCAGCAGUAGGGAAUCUUCCGCAAUGGGCGAAAGCCUGACGGAGCAACGCCGCGGGAGUGAUGAAGGUCUUCGGAUCGUAAAACUCUGUUAUUAGGGAAGAACAAAUGUGUAAGUAACUAUGCACGUCUUGACGGUACCUAAUCAGAUAGCCACGGCUAACUACGGG
Molecule: ribosomal RNA, 497 nt
Filed under: uncultured bacterium
Lineage: Bacteria
Description: partial 16S ribosomal RNA
Rfam family: Bacterial small subunit ribosomal RNA
Source: RNAcentral